Molecule: ribosomal RNA, 424 nt
Filed under: uncultured cyanobacterium
Lineage: Bacteria; Bacillati; Cyanobacteriota
Description: bacterial SSU rRNA
Rfam family: Bacterial small subunit ribosomal RNA
Source: RNAcentral
UGGGGAAUUUUCCGCAAUGGGCGAAAGCCUGACGGAGCAAUACCGCGUGAGGGAUGAAGGCUCUUGGGUCGUAAACCUCUUUUCUCAGGGAAGAAACCUGACGGUACCUGAGGAAUAAGCAUCGGCUAACUCCGUGCCAGCAGCCGCGGUAAGACGGAGGAUGCAAGCGUUAUCCGGAAUUAUUGGGCGUAAAGCGUCCGCAGGUGGUUUUUCAAGUCUGUUUUCAAAGCGCGAGGCUCAACCUUGUAUCGGGAAUGGAAACUGAAAGACUAGAGUUCGGUAGGGGUAGAGGGAAUUCCAGGUGUAGCGGUGAAAUGCGUAGAUAUCUGGAAGAACACCAGUGGCGAAAGCGCUCUACUGGGCCUGAACUGACACUGAGGGACGAAAGCUAGGGGAGCGAAAGGGAUUAGAUACCCCUGUAGUC